AUUGAACGCUGGCGGCAUGCCUUACACAUGCGAGUCGAACGGUAACAGGUCUUCGGAUGCUGACGAGUGGCGCACGGAUGAGUAAUACAUCGGAACGUGCCCGAUCGUGGGGGAUAACGGAGCGAAAGCUUCGCUAAUACCGCAUACGAUCUACGGAUGAAAGCAGGGGACCGCAAGGCCUUGCGCGGACGGAGCGGCCGAUGGCAGAUUAGGUAGUUGGUGGGAUAAAAGCUUACCAAGCCGACGAUCUGUAGCUGGUCUGAGAGGACGACCAGCCACACUGGGACUGAGACACGGCCCAGACUCCUACGGGAGGCAGCAGUGGGGAAUUUUGGACAAUGGGCGAAAGCCUGAUCCAGCCAUGCCGCGUGCAGGAUGAAGGCCUUCGGGUUGUAAACUGCUUUUGUACGGAACGAAAAGACUCUUUCUAAUAAAGAGGGUCCAUGACGGUACCGUAAGAAUAAGCACCGGCUAACUACGUG
This 482-nucleotide ribosomal RNA is filed under the name uncultured bacterium. Its description in RNAcentral is "partial 16S ribosomal RNA". It matches the Rfam family "Bacterial small subunit ribosomal RNA", at positions 30 to 507 of the family's 1533-position model. The record is from RNAcentral.